RNAcentral lists this ribosomal RNA (440 nucleotides) under uncultured bacterium. Its description in RNAcentral is "bacterial SSU rRNA". It matches the Rfam family "Bacterial small subunit ribosomal RNA", at positions 360 to 793 of the family's 1533-position model. The record is from RNAcentral.
AAUAUUGCACAAUGGGCGCAAGCCUGAUGCAGCCAUGCCGCGCGUAUGAAGAAGGCCUUCGGGUUGUAAAGUACUUUCAGCAGUGAGGAAGGUGGGUAUGUUAAUAGCAUAUUCAUUUGACGUUAGCUGCAGAAGAAGCACCGGCUAACUCCGUGCCAGCAGCCGCGGUAAUACGGAGGGUGCGAGCGUUAAUCGGAAUUACUGGGCGUAAAGCGCAUGCAGGUGGUUUGUUAAGUCAGAUGUGAAAGCCCGGGGCUCAACCUCGGAAUUGCAUUUGAAACUGGCAAACUAGAGUACUGUAGAGGGGGUAGAAUUUCAGGUGUAGCGGUGAAAUGCGUAGAGAUCUGAAGGAAUACCGGUGGCGAAGGCGGCCCCCUGGACAGAUACUGACACUCAGAUGCGAAAGCGUGGGGAGCAAACAGGAUUAGAUACCCUGGUAG